RNAcentral lists this ribosomal RNA (2141 nucleotides) under human gut metagenome. Its description in RNAcentral is "bacterial LSU rRNA". It matches the Rfam family "Bacterial large subunit ribosomal RNA", at positions 227 to 2461 of the family's 2925-position model. The record is from RNAcentral.
AAACGAGAUUCCGUAAGUAGUGGCGAGCGAACGCGGAAGAGGGCAAACCGGGAGGAGAAAUCCUUCCGGGGUAUGGACCGCUUUUAGGACUUGAGUUGUUAACCGAAUGGCAUGGGAAGGCCAAUCAAAGAGGGUGAGAAUCCCGUAGGUGAAAACGAUGAGAGCUGCGCGAGUUCCAGAGUACGGCCAGACACGUGAAACCUGGUCGGAAGAUGGGGGGACCACCCUCCAACCCUAAAUACUACCCAGUGACCGAUAGCGUAUAGUACUGUGAAGGAAAGGUGAAAAGGACCCCGGGAGGGGAGUGAAAUAGAACCUGAAACCUUGUGCCUACAAGCACAUAGAGCACAUCAACGUGUGAUAUGGUACUUUUUGUAGAACGGUCCGGCGAGCGAUUGUAUGUUGCGAGCUUAAGGUCUUAAGGACUGGAGGCGUAGCGAGAGCGAGUCUGAAUAGGGCGUUCAGUAGCAUGCAAUGGGCCCGAAACCGGGUGACCUACCCAUGAUCAGGCUGAAGUGAAAGUAAAAUUUCAUGGAGGGCCGAACCGACCUCCGUUGAAAAGGCGGCGGAUGAAUUGUGGGUAGCGGAGAAAUUCCAAUCGAACUCGGAGAUAGCUGGUUCUCCCCGAAAUAGCUUUAGGGCUAGCCUCAUAUUAGAUACCCGGAGGUAAAGCACUGAAUGGCCUAGCGCCCGAGAGGGUAGCGAAGCCUAUCAAACUAAGAAUGCCGGAGUAUUGAUGUAUGGGAGUCAGACAGUGUGAGAUAAAUCUCAUUGUCAAAAGGGAAACAGCCCAGAUCUACAGCUAAGGUCCCAAAUUGUAUCUAAGUGGAAAACGAUGUGGAAAUACGCAGACAACCAGGAUGUUGGCUCAGAAGCAGCCACUCAUUUAAAGAGUGCGUAAUAGCUCACUGGUCGAGCGUCUCUGCGCGGAAAAUUUAACGGGGCUAAGAUACAAACCGAAGCUUAGGCUGCAUCGUAAGAUGCGGGGUAGGGGAGCGUUGUGUAAGCGGAGAAACAGUAGCGUAAGCGGCUGUGGAGUUUACAGAAGUGAGAAUGCCGGAAUGAGUAGCGCGAAUGUGGUGAGAAUCCACAUGGCCGGAAACCUCAGGUUUUUGGAGGAAGGUUCGUCCGCUCCAAGUUAGGCGGGAGCUAAGGUCAGGCCGAAAGGCGUAGCCGAUGCACAGACGGUAGAGAUUCCGUCCCCACCGAAAGAUUUAAGCGCAGGGACACUUUUAGAAGGUCGGAGCCAGGUGUUGGUUCUGGUAGAGAUCGAGGGAAAUUUAGUACCGAAGUCCGGCUGGAUGAGAGGCGAGAAAAGCUGUGUGUAUAUCUAAGGUGCCCGUACCGCAAACCGACACAGGUAGGUAGGAAGAAGAUUCUAAGGCCAACGGGAGAAGGGUUGUUAAGGAACUCGGCAAGUUGACCCCGUAACUUCGGAAUAAGGGGUGCUCACGAGAGUGAGCCGCAGAGAAUAGGCCCAGGCAACUGUUUACCAAAAACACAGGUUUGUGCUAAAUCGAAAGAUGACGUAUACGAGCUGACGCCUGCCCGGUGCUGGAAGGUUAAGAGGAGAUGUGCAAGCAUUGAAUCGAAGCCCCAGUGAACGGCGGCCGUAACUAUAACGGUCCUAAGGUAGCGAAAUUCCUUGUCAGGUAAGUUCUGACCCGCAUGAAAGGCGUAAUGAUUUGGGCACUGUCUCAACAGCCCGCCCGGCGAAAUUGUAGUACCGGUGAAGAUGCCGGUUACCCGCGACAAGACGGAAAGACCCCAUGGAGCUUUACUGUAGCCUAAUAUUGGGUUUCGAUGUUGCAUGCACAGGAUAGAUGGGACACUGGGAAACAAUCGCUUUGGCGGUUGCGGAGUGGCCGUUGGGAUACCAUCCUUGCGAUAUUGGAAUUCUAACCUGCGCCUUUGAAUCAAGGCGGGGGACAUUGUUAGGUGGGCAGUUUGACUGGGGCGGUCGCCUCCUAAAGAGUAACGGAGGCGUUCAAAGGUUCGCUCAGCUUGAACGGAAAUCAAGCAAAAGAGUGCAAACGCAGAAGCGAGCCUAACUGCGAGACUGACGGGUCGAGCAGUAACGAAAGUUGGAGUUAGUGAUCCGGUGGUAUGUGAGUGGAAAUGCCAUCGCUCAACGGAUAAAA